GAAUUUUCGACCGAAACGCGCAAAAUCGCAACUUUUUUUCCAAAUGAGCACCCAUCCGCGGGACGAAUCUUGUUCCCCAAAAAUUCAGGCAUGUUUGGGACAUCAUAAGGACCUUCACUGAGAAAUUUUGGCAAUUUUGCACGCGGGAAUCGUUAACUGCGAAUAUUUUAAGCGCCAGAAAGUCAAGAAAGCGCAAAAUCGCAA
This 204-nucleotide long non-coding RNA is filed under the name Medicago truncatula (barrel medic). RNAcentral's name for it is "long non-coding RNA (MTRU_LNC007541)". Lineage: Eukaryota; Viridiplantae; Streptophyta; Magnoliopsida; Fabales; Fabaceae. The record is from RNAcentral.